This 1389-nucleotide ribosomal RNA is filed under the name Escherichia coli. RNAcentral's name for it is "partial 23S ribosomal RNA". It matches the Rfam family "Bacterial large subunit ribosomal RNA", at positions 1551 to 2916 of the family's 2925-position model. Lineage: Bacteria; Pseudomonadati; Pseudomonadota; Gammaproteobacteria; Enterobacterales; Enterobacteriaceae. The record is from RNAcentral.
UAAGGCUGAGGCGUGAUGACGAGGCACUACGGUGCUGAAGCAACAAAUGCCCUGCUUCCAGGAAAAGCCUCUAAGCAUCAGGUAACAUCAAAUCGUACCCCAAACCGACACAGGUGGUCAGGUAGAGAAUACCAAGGCGCUUGAGAGAACUCGGGUGAAGGAACUAGGCAAAAUGGUGCCGUAACUUCGGGAGAAGGCACGCUGAUAUGUAGGUGAAGUCCCUCGCGGAUGGAGCUGAAAUCAGUCGAAGAUACCAGCUGGCUGCAACUGUUUAUUAAAAACACAGCACUGUGCAAACACGAAAGUGGACGUAUACGGUGUGACGCCUGCCCGGUGCCGGAAGGUUAAUUGAUGGGGUUAGCGCAAGCGAAGCUCUUGAUCGAAGCCCCGGUAAACGGCGGCCGUAACUAUAACGGUCCUAAGGUAGCGAAAUUCCUUGUCGGGUAAGUUCCGACCUGCACGAAUGGCGUAAUGAUGGCCAGGCUGUCUCCACCCGAGACUCAGUGAAAUUGAACUCGCUGUGAAGAUGCAGUGUACCCGCGGCAAGACGGAAAGACCCCGUGAACCUUUACUAUAGCUUGACACUGAACAUUGAGCAUUGAUGUGUAGGAUAGGUGGGAGGCUUUGAAGUGUGGACGCCAGUCUGCAUGGAGCCGACCUUGAAAUACCACCCUUUAAUGUUUGAUGUUCUAACGUUGACCCGUAAUCCGGGUUGCGGACAGUGUCUGGUGGGUAGUUUGACUGGGGCGGUCUCCUCCUAAAGAGUAACGGAGGAGCACGAAGGUUGGCUAAUCCUGGUCGGACAUCAGGAGGUUAGUGCAAUGGCAUAAGCCAGCUUGACUGCGAGCGUGACGGCGCGAGCAGGUGCGAAAGCAGGUCAUAGUGAUCCGGUGGUUCUGAAUGGAAGGGCCAUCGCUCAACGGAUAAAAGGUACUCCGGGGAUAACAGGCUGAUACCGCCCAAGAGUUCAUAUCGACGGCGGUGUUUGGCACCUCGAUGUCGGCUCAUCACAUCCUGGGGCUGAAGUAGGUCCCAAGGGUAUGGCUGUUCGCCAUUUAAAGUGGUACGCGAGCUGGGUUUAGAACGUCGUGAGACAGUUCGGUCCCUAUCUGCCGUGGGCGCUGGAGAACUGAGGGGGGCUGCUCCUAGUACGAGAGGACCGGAGUGGACGCAUCACUGGUGUUCGGGUUGUCAUGCCAAUGGCACUGCCCGGUAGCUAAAUGCGGAAGAGAUAAGUGCUGAAAGCAUCUAAGCACGAAACUUGCCCCGAGAUGAGUUCUCCCUGACUCCUUGAGAGUCCUGAAGGAACGUUGAAGACGACGACGUUGAUAGGCCGGGUGUGUAAGCGCAGCGAUGCGUUGAGCUAACCGGUACUAAUGAACCGUGAGG